Molecule: ribosomal RNA, 800 nt
Filed under: uncultured bacterium
Lineage: Bacteria
Description: bacterial SSU rRNA
Rfam family: Bacterial small subunit ribosomal RNA
Source: RNAcentral
AGGAUGAACGCUAGCGGGAGGCUUAACACAUGCAAGUCGAGGGGCAGCAUUACCUUCGGGUAGAUGGCGACCGGCGCACGGGUGCGUAACGCGUAUGCAACCUGGCUUAUGCAGGGGGAUAGCCCAUGGAAACGUGGAUUAAUACCCCAUAGUAUUAUGGAUCUGCAUGGAUUUAUAAUUAAAACUUCGGUGGCAUAAGAUGGGCAUGCGUCUGAUUAGCUAGUUGGUGGGGUAACUGCCCACCAAGGCGACGAUCAGUAGGGGUUCUGAGAGGAUUAUCCCCCACACUGGUACUGAGACACGGACCAGACUCCUACGGGAGGCAGCAGUGAGGAAUAUUGGUCAAUGGCCGAAAGGCUGAACCAGCCAUCCCGCGUGCAGGAUGACGGCCCUAUGGGUUGUAAACUGCUUUUCUAUGCCAAGAAACCCUGUUACGUGUAACAGGUUGCCGGUAGCAUAGGAAUAAGCAUCGGCUAACUCCGUGCCAGCAGCCGCGGUAAUACGGAGGAUGCAAGCGUUAUCCGGAUUCAUUGGGUUUAAAGGGUGCGCAGGUUGGGAAGUAAGUCAGUGGUGAAAUCCUGCCGCUUAACGGUAGAAUUGCCAUUGAUACUGCUUUUCUUGAGUAUGGUUGAGGUAGGCGGAAUGUGCAGUGUAGCGGUGAAAUGCAUAGAUAUUGCACAGAACUCCGAUUGCGAAGGCAGCUUACUAAGCCAUAACUGACGCUGAGGCACGAAAGCGUGGGGAGCGAACAGGAUUAGAUACCCUGGUAGUCCACGCUGUAAACGAUGUUCACUCGCUGU